This 22-nucleotide microRNA is filed under the name Bombyx mori (domestic silkworm). Its description in RNAcentral is "bmo-miR-3241". The record is from miRBase by way of RNAcentral. Lineage: Eukaryota; Metazoa; Arthropoda; Insecta; Lepidoptera; Bombycidae.
AUAAAGGAUCUUUACCAAAGCA